Molecule: long non-coding RNA, 512 nt
Filed under: Triticum aestivum (bread wheat)
Lineage: Eukaryota; Viridiplantae; Streptophyta; Magnoliopsida; Poales; Poaceae
Description: long non-coding RNA (TAES_LNC026078)
Source: RNAcentral
AGGAGAUUCGGGCGGCCCAGUCCGAGUGGGUGAUCACGGAUGAUCAGCUGCGCGCCGAUGUUAAGGCAGCAAUAGCAGAUUCGGUGCUGCCUGCAUACAAGGGCUUGAUUGCGAGGCUGAGAUCGUCUCCAGAUCCUCCGCAGGAUCUGUUCAUCAAGCAUACCCCAGAGGAUGUUGAGGCAUGCAUCCAACAUUUGUUUGAAGGAAUUGGGAAAUGAUUGGUUAUCUUGUACUGUAGCAUCUUAUUGGUCGUGCCUGUGAUUUUCGUAUCAUCAUUAAAGUACUGUUGUGGCCGAUAUCUGAAGUUCUGAACAUGGAUAAUGGGGAAAUAAUGGUACCACUUUGGGUUUGAUGGUGUUUUGCCAUGAGGUUAGGCUUUAUAUUAGACGCGCAAAUCAUUGUCUUCUCCAACUGUGUAAAUUAUUGUAGGCAUUUCUCUGUCAGUUGUUAAUGGUAGUCUUAUUCAAAACAUUAUCUGUCUUCUUAUUUAUCGUGUUUCAGUGCCUGGUUGU